Molecule: ribosomal RNA, 156 nt
Filed under: uncultured bacterium
Lineage: Bacteria
Description: partial 16S ribosomal RNA
Rfam family: Bacterial small subunit ribosomal RNA
Source: RNAcentral
UGGGGAAUCUUGCACAAUGGGGGAAACCCUGAUGCAGCGACGCCGCGUGAGCGAUGAAGCCCUUCGGGGUGUAAAGCUCUGUGGGGAGGGACGAACCGCUGGGUAUUAAUACCAUCCAGCAUGACGGUACCUCCUUAGCAAGCACCGGCUAACUUC